UACGUAGGGGGCAAGCGUUAUCCGGAUUUACUGGGUGUAAAGGGAGCGUAGACGGCAUUGCAAGUCCGGAGUGAAAGCCCACGGCCCAACCGUGGGACUGCUCUGGAAACUGUAGAGCUGGAGUGCGGGAGGGGCAGGCGGAAUUCCUAGUGUAGCGGUGAAAUGCGUAGAUAUUAGGAGGAACACCGGCGGCGAAGGCGGCCUGCUGGACCGUAACUGACGUUGAGGCUCGAAAGCGUGGGGAGCAAACAGG
Molecule: ribosomal RNA, 253 nt
Filed under: uncultured bacterium
Lineage: Bacteria
Description: partial 16S ribosomal RNA
Rfam family: Bacterial small subunit ribosomal RNA
Source: RNAcentral